GACGAACGCUGGCGGCGCGCUUAACACAUGCAAGUCGAACGUGAAGCCUGGAGCUUGCUCCGGGUGGAAAGUGGCGAACGGGUGAGGAACACGUGAGAAACCUGCCCUGAAGACCGGGACAACCAUUGGAAACGAUGGCUAAUACCGGAUGUCUUCAUCGGAUCGCAUGAUCUGAUGAAGAAAUGGAUUCCGCUUCAGGAUGGUCUCGCGGCCUAUCAGCUUGUUGGUGGGGUAAUGGCCUACCAAGGCAUCGACGGGUAGCUGGUCUGAGAGGAUGUCCAGCCACACUGGGACUGAGACACGGCCCAGACUCCUACGGGAGGCAGCAGUGGGGAAUCUUGCACAAUGGGCGAAAGCCUGAUGCAGCGACGCCGCGUGCGGGAUGAAGGCCUUCGGGUUGUAAACCGCUUUCAGUAGGGAAGAUAAUGACGGUACCUACAGAAGAAGCCCCGGCCAACUACGUG
RNAcentral lists this ribosomal RNA (464 nucleotides) under uncultured organism. Its description in RNAcentral is "bacterial SSU rRNA". It matches the Rfam family "Bacterial small subunit ribosomal RNA", at positions 28 to 507 of the family's 1533-position model. The record is from RNAcentral.